RNAcentral lists this ribosomal RNA (458 nucleotides) under uncultured Streptococcus sp. Its description in RNAcentral is "bacterial SSU rRNA". It matches the Rfam family "Bacterial small subunit ribosomal RNA", at positions 925 to 1382 of the family's 1533-position model. The record is from RNAcentral. Lineage: Bacteria; Bacillati; Bacillota; Bacilli; Lactobacillales; Streptococcaceae.
ACAAGCGGUGGAGCGAUGUGGUUUAAUUCGAAGCAACGCGAAGAACCUUACCAGGUCUUGACAUCCCGAUGCUAUUUCUAGAGAUAGAAAGUUACUUCGGUACAUCGGUGACAGGUGGUGCAUGGUUGUCGUCAGCUCGUGUCGUGAGAUGUUGGGUUAAGUCCCGCAACGAGCGCAACCCCUAUUGUUAGUUGCCAUCAUUCAGUUGGGCACUCUAGCGAGACUGCCGGUAAUAAACCGGAGGAAGGUGGGGAUGACGUCAAAUCAUCAUGCCCCUUAUGACCUGGGCUACACACGUGCUACAAUGGUUGGUACAACGAGUUGCGAGUCGGUGACGGCGAGCUAAUCUCUUAAAGCCAAUCUCAGUUCGGAUUGUAGGCUGCAACUCGCCUACAUGAAGUCGGAAUCGCUAGUAAUCGCGGAUCAGCACGCCGCGGUCGAAUACGUUCCCGGGCCUU